Molecule: long non-coding RNA, 1122 nt
Organism: Juglans regia (Persian walnut)
Lineage: Eukaryota; Viridiplantae; Streptophyta; Magnoliopsida; Fagales; Juglandaceae
Exons: 3
Source: RefSeq, a predicted model, not a curated record
GAGAUACAAGAGAAAGUCUUUAUGCAGUCCCAAGUCAGAGGACUGGGCGCGCACGCCCAACGUGGCAAAAACGCCCCGUUUUAUUAACUUGUGCUUACGACGUCGUCUGGCUUGAUGGACGGACGCCUUCCUCUUCGAAGCGAGACCUCUUUGAUCCGAGACCUCUUCGAAGCGAGACCUAACCUCUGCCCAGACUCUGCCCAGAAGAGGUUGCCGAGAACUCUAAUUUCACUCCGUCCUCGAACGAGUUGAUAUUUGCCGAGAACUCUAAUUUCACUCCGUCCUCAAACGAGUUGAUUUCUUCCUCCUCGAGACCGAUGCUUUGCCCAGAAGAGUAGCCCUAACUUCACUCCGUCGGUGGUGGAGAUUCGCGUCGCGUUGCCGAGAACUCUAAUAAAUUCGAAGUCCCAGCCCUAACGUCGUGGUGAACGUCGUGGUGCGAGGUGGUGGAGGAGUUGAUUCCGCCGAAAAGAGUAAUUUUUGAGCCCAGCCCUAACUUCACUCCGUCUGAGCCCUAAUAGUGCAAUGUCGUCAUCUCAGUCAUCAUCUUCCUUGGGUGAUCGUUAUUUGAGAAAUGCUCCAAUAUGUUUAUGUGGGUCGAUUGCACGUCUCAAAAUCUCGAACACUUCGAGAAAUCCAAGAAGACCUUUUUUCACUUGUCCAAAGUACAAUAAAGAGGGAAAACCAUACUGCAACUACUUUAUAUGGGCAGAUUUUGAACAACGAAAUGAAAGUCCCUUUGCUAGGGAAAGAGAACUCCAGCAAAAAGAGGAAGAAGUCGAAAAAAGAGAGGAAGAAGUCGAAAAAAGAGAGGAAGAAGUCCAAAGGAGAGAGAAUGAACUCCAACAUGCACGCAUGCUACUUUGCGUGUAUUGGGCAUUGACAAUACUAAUCUCAUGUUGUUUGCUACGAUCAACGACAAUUGAAGAUUAAGUUUGUGUUAGAGACUUUUUGGAUGUUGUCAACUUGUUGUGUUCUAGUGUAGCCAGACUGGUUACUUGUAAACCUUCUGCAUUAAUAUGCAGUCUUUUGUGCGAAGUUGUAAUAUGCAGUUUCUAUUUCCAACUGUACCAGACUUAUGUUGCAAUCAAUAUUACGUAUUUUCCAUCAAAUUUGUUGCUG